GCUGGGUGUGGUGGUGCAUGCCUGUAAUCCCAGCUGCUGGGGAGGCUGAGGCAGGAGGAUUUUGAGUUCAAACCAGUCUCAGCUGAAGCCCUAAGCAACUCAGUUAGACCCUGUCUCUA
This 119-nucleotide small RNA is filed under the name Marmota monax (woodchuck). Lineage: Eukaryota; Metazoa; Chordata; Mammalia; Rodentia; Sciuridae. The record is from RNAcentral.